CAAUAGCGUAUAUUUAAGUUGUUGCAGUUAAAAAGCUCGUAGUUGGAUUUCGGAUGGGAUUUGCCGGUCCGUCGUUACGAUGUGCACUGGCCAGUCCUAUCUUGUUGUCGGGGACUAGCUCCUUGGAUUCACUUCCUGGGACUAGGAGCUGACGAGGUUACUUUGAGUAAAUUAGAGUGUUCAAAGCAAGCCUACGCUCUGAAUACAUUAGCAUGGAAUAACACGAUAGGACUCUGGCUUAUCUUGUUGGUCUGUGAGACCAGAGUAAUGAUUAAGAGGGACAGUCGGGGACAUUCGUAUUUCAUUGUCAGAGGUGAAAUUCUUGGAUUUAUGAAAGACGAACUUCUGCGAAAGCAUUUGGCAGGGAUGUUUUCAUUAA
RNAcentral lists this ribosomal RNA (379 nucleotides) under uncultured eukaryote. RNAcentral's name for it is "partial 18S ribosomal RNA". It matches the Rfam family "Eukaryotic small subunit ribosomal RNA", at positions 592 to 976 of the family's 1831-position model. The record is from RNAcentral.